Molecule: ribosomal RNA, 262 nt
Filed under: Enterobacter hormaechei
Lineage: Bacteria; Pseudomonadati; Pseudomonadota; Gammaproteobacteria; Enterobacterales; Enterobacteriaceae
Description: partial 23S ribosomal RNA
Rfam family: Bacterial large subunit ribosomal RNA
Source: RNAcentral
ACAGACAGCCAGGAUGUUGGCUUAGAAGCAGCCAUCAUUUAAAGAAAGCGUAAUAGCUCACUGGUCGAGUCGGCCUGCGCGGAAGAUGUAACGGGGCUAAACCAUGCACCGAAGCUGCGGCAGCGACACUUAGGCGUUGUUGGGUAGGGGAGCGUUCUGUAAGCCGUUGAAGGUGUGCUGUGAGGCAUGCUGGAGGUAUCAGAAGUGCGAAUGCUGACAUAAGUAACGAUAAAGCGGGUGAAAAGCCCGCUCGCCGGAAGAC